GCAAGUCGAACGAGACCUUCGGGUCUAGUGGCGCACGGGUGCGUAACGCGUGGGAAUCUGCCCUUGGGUUCGGAAUAACAGUUGGAAACGACUGCUAAUACCGGAUGAUGACGUAAGUCCAAAGAUUUAUCGCCCAGGGAUGAGCCCGCGUAGGAUUAGCUAGUUGGUGAGGUAAAGGCUCACCAAGGCGACGAUCCUUAGCUGGUCUGAGAGGAUGAUCAGCCACACUGGGACUGAGACACGGCCCAGACUCCUACGGGAGGCAGCAGUGGGGAAUAUUGGACAAUGGGCGAAAGCCUGAUCCAGCAAUGCCGCGUGAGUGAUGAAGGCCUUAGGGUUGUAAAGCUCUUUUACCCGGGAUGAUAAUGACAGUACCGGGAGAAUAAGCUCCGGCUAACUCCGUGCCAGCAGCCGCGGUAAUACGGAGGGAGCUAGCGUUGUUCGGAAUUACUGGGCGUAAAGCGCACGUAGGCGGCGAUCUAAGUCAGAGGUGAAAGCCCGGGGCUCAACCCCGGAAUAGCCUUUGAGACUGGAUUGCUUGAAUCCAGGAGAGGUGAGUGGAAUUUCGAGUGUAGAGGUGAAAUUCGUAGAUAUUCGGAAGAACACCAGUGGCGAAGGCGGCUCACUGGACUGGUAUUGACGCUGAGGUGCGAAAGCGUGGGGAGCA
This 667-nucleotide ribosomal RNA is filed under the name uncultured soil bacterium. RNAcentral describes it as "bacterial SSU rRNA". It matches the Rfam family "Bacterial small subunit ribosomal RNA", at positions 57 to 770 of the family's 1533-position model. The record is from RNAcentral.